UACAGAGGUCUCAAGCGUUGUUCGGAUUCAUUGGGCGUAAAGGGUGCGUAGGCGGCGCGGUAAGUCGGGUGUGAAAUCUCGGAGCUUAACUCCGAAACUGCAUUCGAUACUGCCGUGCUUGAGGACUGGAGAGGAGACUGGAAUUUACGGUGUAGCGGUGAAAUGCGUUGAUAUCGUAAGGAAGACCAGUGGCGAAGGCGGGUCUCUGGACAGUUCCUGACGCUGAGGCACGAAGGCCAGGGGAGCAAACGGG
RNAcentral lists this ribosomal RNA (253 nucleotides) under uncultured bacterium. Its description in RNAcentral is "partial 16S ribosomal RNA". It matches the Rfam family "Bacterial small subunit ribosomal RNA", at positions 524 to 776 of the family's 1533-position model. The record is from RNAcentral.